RNAcentral lists this ribosomal RNA (164 nucleotides) under Poa glauca. RNAcentral describes it as "5.8S ribosomal RNA". It matches the Rfam family "5.8S ribosomal RNA". From Rfam's summary of the family: 5.8S ribosomal RNA (5.8S rRNA) is a component of the large subunit of the eukaryotic ribosome. It is transcribed by RNA polymerase I as part of the 45S precursor that also contains 18S and 28S rRNA. Lineage: Eukaryota; Viridiplantae; Streptophyta; Magnoliopsida; Poales; Poaceae. The record is from RNAcentral.
CACACGACUCUCGGCAACGGAUAUCUCGGCUCUCGCAUCGAUGAAGAACGUAGCGAAAUGCGAUACCUGGUGUGAAUUGCAGAAUCCCGCGAACCAUCGAGUYUUUGAACGCAAGUUGCGCCCGAGGCCACUUGGCCGAGGGCACGCCUGCCUGGGAGUCACGC